Molecule: ribosomal RNA, 443 nt
Filed under: uncultured bacterium
Lineage: Bacteria
Description: partial 16S ribosomal RNA
Rfam family: Bacterial small subunit ribosomal RNA
Source: RNAcentral
CCUACGGGUGGCAGCAGUGGGGAAUAUUGGGCAAUGGGCGCAAGCCUGACCCAGCAACGCCGCGUGAAGGAAGAAGGCUUUCGGGUUGUAAACUUCUUUUCUCAGGGACGAAGAAAGUGACGGUACCUGAGGAAUAAGCCACGGCUAACUACGUGCCAGCAGCCGCGGUAAUACGUAGGGGGCAAGCGUUAACCGGAUUUACUGGGAGUAAUGGGCGUGUAGGCGGGAAAGCAAGUCAGAUGUGAAAACCAUGGGCUCAACCUGUGGCCUGCAUUUGAAACUGUUUUUCUUGAGUACUGGAGAGGCAGACGGAAUUCCUAGUGUAGCGGUGAAAUGCGUAGAGAUUAGGAGGAACACCAGUGGCGAAGGCGGUCUGCUGGACAGCAACUGACGCUGAGGCGCGAAAGCGUGGGGAGCAAACAGGAUUAGAUACCCUGGUAGUC